AGUUGGGAGAAGGAGGCUUUGGUUUUGUGUAUAAAGGAAAGCUUCGAAGUGGUCAAUUUGCAGCUAUAAAGUUGUUGGGUAAAUCUAAAGCCAAUGGACAAGAUUUUAUCAACGAGGUUGCUACUAUUGGGAGGAUCCACCAUGCCAAUAUAGUAAAAUUAAUUGGUUUUUGUGCUGAGGGAUCAAAGUUUGCUCUUAUAUAUGAAUUCAUGUCCAAUGGGUCUCUUGAUAGUUACAUUUUUUGUCAAGAAGGAUCUAUUUCUUUAAGUUGGGAAAAAUUAUAUGAGAUAUCUCUUGGAGUGGCACGUGGCAUUGAAUAUCUACAUCAAGGUUGUGACAUGCAAAUCCUCCAUUUUGACAUCAAGCCUCAAAACAUUCUUCUGGAUGAAAAUUUCACACCAAAAAUUUCUGAUUUUGGGCUGGCUAAACUUUAUCCAACCAAGGGGAGCAUUGCAUCUCUUACGGCUGCAAGGGGAACAAUAGGAUAUAUGGCACCAGAGUUAUUCUACAAAAAUAUUGGGCGUGUUUCAUACAAAGCAGAUGUGUACAGUUUUGGAAUGUUGUUGUUGGAAAUCGCAGGCAAAAGGAAAAACUUAAAUGCAACGGCUGAAAAUUUGAGUCAAAUUUACUAUCCAUUUUUGGUGUAUGACCAACUCUCAAGUGGAAAGUUGACAAUAGAAGACUCAUCAGAGGAGGAAAAUAAAUUAGCUAGGAAAAUGAUUAUAACGGGAUUGUGGUGUAUACAGAUGCAACCUUGCAAUCGUCCUCCAAUGAACAAAGUAUUGGACAUGCUUGAAGGAGAUUUGGAAAGCCUAGAAUUGCCUCCAAGGCCUCUUCUAUAUCCUGCAGAAUCAAUGAAUAUGGAUGGAGGAGAAUCGUCAUCAAUAUCAAGUGAUGUGACACCUUAGAUACAUACUAUUGUCUCAUUGAAAUAGUUGGUCUUCAGCUUUAAAAUGUCUGAACAUAAAUGUUCUGAAUCCUCUUUUACUUUUAUAAAUUGCUAUAAAGUCACAGACGACUUGAUGAUAGUUUAUAAUAAUUCUGUGUUUAACUUGUAAGUGUAAGGUAUCCUUAUUAUUGUCAUCUUCAAUGUAUGAUAAUGCAUUUGCAUUGGCUUCACUA
Molecule: unclassified non-coding RNA, 1122 nt
Filed under: Hevea brasiliensis (rubber tree)
Lineage: Eukaryota; Viridiplantae; Streptophyta; Magnoliopsida; Malpighiales; Euphorbiaceae
Source: RNAcentral